GACGGGGGGGGCAAGUGUUCUUCGGAAUUACUGGGCGUAAAGCGUGCGCAGGCGGUUCGGAAAGAAAGAUGUGAAAUCCCAGAGCUUAACUUUGGAACUGCAUUUUUAACUACCGAGCUAGAGUGUGUCAGAGGGAGGUGGAAUUCCGCGUGUAGCAGUGAAAUGCGUAGAUAUGCGGAGGAACACCGAUGGCGAAGGCAGCCUCCUGGGAUAACACUGACGCUCAUGCACGAAAGCGUGGGGAGCAAACAGG
This 253-nucleotide ribosomal RNA is filed under the name uncultured bacterium. Its description in RNAcentral is "partial 16S ribosomal RNA". It matches the Rfam family "Bacterial small subunit ribosomal RNA", at positions 524 to 776 of the family's 1533-position model. The record is from RNAcentral.